Molecule: non-coding RNA, 24 nt
Filed under: Arabidopsis thaliana (thale cress)
Lineage: Eukaryota; Viridiplantae; Streptophyta; Magnoliopsida; Brassicales; Brassicaceae
Source: RNAcentral
AGGCUUCCAAGACUCGACUGAUGG